GCGGACUGCUCAGUAACACGUCGAUAAUCUGCCCUUAGGUCAGGGAUAACCUCGGGAAACUGAGGAUAAUACCUGAUAGUGGAUGAUAUCUGGAAUGAUGCAUCCAAGAAAUUCGGGCCUAAGGAUGAGCCGGCGGCGGAUUAGGUAGUUGGCGGGGUAACAGCCCACCAAGCCGAUGAUCCGUAAGGGCUUUUAGCGAAGGGGCCUGAGAAGGAAUCUGAGACACUAUUCCUAGCCCUACGGGGUGCAGCAGUUAGGGAACUUCUCCAAUGCGCGCAAGCGUGAGAGAGUAAGCCAGAGUGUUUUUCAUAAAUUUUGAAAAACUUUUGCUUGUCGUAAAAAUACAGGCGAAUAAGGACUGGGCAAGAUCGGUGCCAGCCGCCGCGGUAAUCCCGACGGUCCAAGUCGCAGCCACAUUUAUUGGGUCUAAGACAUUCGUAGCUUGUUCUGUGAGUUCCUCGUGAAAUCUUAACUCUUAAGGUUAAGGCGUGCGAGGAAUACUGCAGAACUUGAGACCGGUAGAAGCAAGAAGUAUGGCCGAGGUAGUGAUAAAAUACGUUAAUCUUGGCCAGACUAACAACAGCGAAGACAUCUUGCUAGCACGGAUCUGACAGUGAGGAAUGUAGGCUAGGGGCGCAAAAGGGAUUAGAUACCCCUGUAGUCCUAGCAGUAAACACUGCUCACUAAACAUUAGUACCUCCUCGAGAGGUAUUAGUGCUGUAGCGAAGGCGAAGAGUGAGCUACCUGGGAAGUAUAGUCGCAAGACCGAAACUUAAAGGAAUUGGCGGGGGGGUACCACAACGGGUGACGCGUGCGGUUUAAUUAGACUCUACACCGUGAAUCUUACCAGGAUCGAUAGCAGAAUGAAGGACAGUCUAAAGGGCUUUCCUGACACGCUAAGAGGGGUAGCAUGGCCGACUUCAGCCUGUGUCGUGAGAUGACCUGUUAAAUCAGGUAACAGGCGAGACCCGCGUGCAUAAUUACUACGAAAGAGCACAUUAUGCAGACUGCAUAGGUAACUAUGAGGAAGGUGCGGGCUACGUUAGGUGUGUACAGCCUGAAUACCCUGGGCUACACGCGCGCGGCAAUGCUUGAUUCAAUGAGACGCAACUCCGAGAGGAGAAGCAAAUCCCAUAAUGUCAAGCCCAGUUCAGAUUGAAGUUUGUAACUCAACUUCAUGACGCCGGAAUCCGUAGUAAUCGUUCAUUAUCAGUGAACGGUGAAUAAGUCCCUGCUCCUUGCACACACCGCCCAUCAAACUAACCGAGUUAUGCCUUGGUGAAAUCUUUCGAGAGUGAACCUCAGUAUGACAAGGUAAGUUAAGUUGACACAAG
Molecule: ribosomal RNA, 1334 nt
Filed under: metagenome
Description: bacterial SSU rRNA
Rfam family: Archaeal small subunit ribosomal RNA
Source: RNAcentral